CCGUAAGUCUCGUUUACUUUCACUUUACCACUUCCGGGUACAUCGGCAGACUUAUUUUCCGUUACGCAUAUAGGUAACCCGAAGAACUCGAGGGAUAUAGAAGUUAAAUUUGUUUCGGUCCUCUUCAGAUUUGAAGGAAUUGAUAGCACGGGUCAAAAAUGCAGAUGUAUAGACAAGGAGGUAUAUGACAAGUAUAGAAUAUACAGUUGUUCAAUACGGACCAUUAAUCAACUGUUUGCACUGCCUAUGAUCCUGAACUAUCUAUACAUCAAAGAUAAAAAGGGAAAAGAUGAAGGAGGAUUUGUCCAUGAAGACCUUUAUUGCAACUACCAUCUUCCAGUUCCUUAAUUUGAGAAUGAUAUCAGACAACACACAGUUACAGUGAAAUAUUAGUUUAAUAUAAGCCACUGAAAAUAGUCAAAUGUACUUUCCUGAAGAAGAUGAAUGACAUCCAGCACAAAAAUCUUAAUGUAUAAAGAGUAUGAUUUUAUGGUGUUUGACACUAUGAUCUUGUUAACAUGUUAAUGUCACAAUGAUAGAAACAGAGUAAAAUAUCCACAUUUCAUUGCAGUUUUAAGUAUUAAAACUAGAUACUCUAUAUAUAGCAAAGCUGAUAACACACCAGAGAUAAGGUUUUUUCAUGGAAUCACAGUAGAGUCAUAUGACAUUAUGGACAUUAAAUGACUAUGCAGUAAAGAUUAGCAAAAAUAUUAUUUAUCAUCUACUACUAAUAUUGUGAGGUAAUCAUUGAUAAGCUCACAAAUUUGCAAUCAAAGUUUUGUUAUAAAGCUGAACAUUUUUCAAUUAGAAUAUGAUUUAUAACUAUAUGAUAAUUUUUUCAUGUUAAUUUUCAAAGUCUUUACAUUUGUAAAAGGAAAUAAUCUUAUUCUUGUAUCAGUAGACAUUCACAGUGUAAAGUUACAUUGUCCAAAUAACUAAUUAUAAAGUGCUUUCCUGAAGUUUUUCUUCCACUGGAAAAUUAGUGUGAUAUAUAUGCUAAGCAGUGCACUAUAAAUUGUGUAAAAAUAAAAGUUUAUUAAACUUAUGAACUGUUUUUUGUUUCUACUAUUUGGCAUAUAUCUAUAGCAGUGCUUGAUCAUAAGAGUUCAUCUGCAAAAUAAGUGUCACUGUGUACUUUAAUUCUCUAACAGCAAUGGCUAGAUUGCUUGAAUAUGCAAGCAUUGACUAUAGUAAAUACUAUGCAUGUCAUUUGAAUUUUGUCUGUCCUGAAAUCGAAACAGACACUAUCUAAAUAAUAUUGAUGAAAAGUUCUUGACAACUCUUCAAUGACUACAUUUACACAUAUGUACA
This is a long non-coding RNA of Ruditapes philippinarum (Manila clam), 1311 nucleotides long. RefSeq lists it as uncharacterized. The transcript is spliced from 3 exons. NCBI's taxonomy places the organism in Eukaryota, Metazoa, Mollusca, Bivalvia, Venerida, Veneridae. The record is from RefSeq and is a predicted model, not a curated record.